UACAGAUCGUGUUUGUUUUUUAUUUUUUUAAUGACAAACCGUCGACACACCUCGCCCGCGUACAAAGUUGGACAAGAAAUCUCGAACUCAUCUUAAAGGUAAACCGGCGCGUUUACCUACCACUAUCAUCAUCUUCGUCGAUCCAGGGACCCAAACCAUUCAAGUAACCUAACCAUUGAUCCUUGGGAUUCCACCUGCUAAGCACGACAAUCAAUUGGCCGCGGUUCCAUGAUGACUUCGUCGAUUGCGGUGCAGGUUUCGGUCUUCCUGGUCAUGGCGUCGUUGCGACCACGGUCCACAUUCAGUACUCCGCACGGAAGUCUACUGCCGUACGAUUACUAUACCGCUGACGAUGCUGUGUACAAUGCCACUGCCGUUGACCACGAUGACCGAACGGAGCAUGCUCGACAUAAUUACGAAACGCCGUUUCGAUUCAAUUUCUAUUCGAUUAUGUAUUCAUUUAUAUUGAGAGAGUUGUGUUAUAAAACGAGCACUAAGAACCGUUUGCCUUUUAUCUGUAGUAUAAACAAAGGUUUGUAUGAAAAUAAGAAAAUAUUUUUAUAAAACACACAUUUAUAUAUUUUAUAUAAUCACUUCCUUCUCACCUUCUCUUCUAAGACAAAUUGAAUCGAUACGACGUGUGCUUUAUAUAAAAUGGCUACGUUGACCCAUGCAUAACGUAACACCUAUUUGUAUUUGAUUUGAAUAAAAAAAAUAUUUAUUCACCUACUGUUUUUGAGUGUUAUUUUUACCAAAGAUUUGGCAUCUAUUAUCCCCUAAAUAGAUACAUCGUCUUUGAUAAAAUCAACUCUCUUAGACUACGCGUGUAUCCCUAUUAUAUAUAAUCUAUUUUAUUUCUUGAGUUUAUCUAUAUCUAGUGUUUAUUAAUUAAGAUAAUUAAUUGAUAUAUUUAUAAUAAAUGGUACUAACUAUCGACAAUAUAGUUAUGUAAAACAAAAUCUAUACUUACUGCUCAAGAGUUCAAACUUACGAUAUAUAGGAUAUUAUACAUCAAUAACAAACCUAGAUGGAAUAUGAAAUAAAUUUUGGAAUAAUUUGUUGCUGUUAAAUUGAAUACUGUGUACAAUAAUAAAUAAUGAUACAAUUUCAAAAGUUACAUACAAUACGAUGAUUCUGGAUUCAAUAGAUAAUUUGAUGAAUAGACGCCGACAAUUUAUUAAAAUCACUGGACCUUACUACAUCAAUAUAAUAUUAUUACAUGGCCAUAAAUGUAAACGUUAACAUACUGAAAUCGAUGAUACAAUGUUAUACGAGGUAAUUUAUCAAGAAGACUCAUUGAAACUCUUUUUAUUUUUGAUAUAGUAAAUUAACUAAGAAAUUUAAAUUUUUAGAAAUUUUAAUUAUACUUAAAGACUAA
Melanaphis sacchari is the source of this 1378-nucleotide RNA transcript. RefSeq lists it as uncharacterized. The transcript is spliced from 3 exons. NCBI's taxonomy places the organism in Eukaryota, Metazoa, Arthropoda, Insecta, Hemiptera, Aphididae. The record is from RefSeq and is a predicted model, not a curated record.